UCUCUCGAAUCCUUGGCAGGGAUUUUGAGACCACAACUCUUCUCUGCCUCUUAAAGGCUUUCCCUGGGAGAAGUUGUAGGACGCGGCGGAAUUUCUUUCUUCUUUGUAUCUGUGUUGGCUAAAGCAGGACAGAGGAGCUUGAAAAGGCUCGCCCUCCUCAAGGAACGCUAUCUGAUUCGUAAGCAUUCCUAGAGGUUAAGGCUGGUGACUAUCAAGAAAGCAAAUACUUCACGCAAGGCUUAUGAUAAUGAAUUGAAUCAUAAAAAACAAUCAUAAAACAUCUCCAUAUUGCAUCCAUGAGAUUGACUAGGAUGAUUUACACUAAAUGGAUUUUUACAUGGAAUGGAUUUCUUUUCCAAAGUUCACCGAGAGUCAAGACUACAUCCCUACGUGUUUAGGAGCCAGAAAUUAUCGUGCCACACACGGUCAGGUGGCAUUUUUCCAGAAGCUGACAUGUCCUUUCAUUGCUAAAAACCUCAGUUUGGAAUGGAAUGGAGUCAAGUACAGGAAGGAGAUGAUUAUGGAAACUGUAAGAAUUUGAGACCUCAGCUAUCUUCAGACACAGCAAAACAUUUCCUCCU
Molecule: long non-coding RNA, 581 nt
Organism: Serinus canaria (Common canary)
Lineage: Eukaryota; Metazoa; Chordata; Aves; Passeriformes; Fringillidae
Exons: 3
Source: RefSeq, a predicted model, not a curated record